CGAGUCUUAAUAGGGCGUAUAGUUGCUGGGUAUAGACCCGAAACCGGGUGAUCUAUCCAUGAGCAGGUUGAAGGUUGGGUAACACUAACUGGAGGACCGAACCCACUGUCGUUGAAAAGCCAGGGGAUGACUUGUGGAUAGGGGUGAAAGGCUAAUCAAACUCGGUGAUAGCUGGUUCUCCCCGAAAGCUAUUUAGGUAGCGCCUCGGACGAAUACCAUUGGGGGUAGAGCACUGUUUCGGCUAGGGGGUCAUCCCGACUUACCAAACCGAUGCAAACUCCGAAUACCAAUGAGUACUAUCCGGGAGACAGACUGCGGGUGCUAACGUCCGUAGUCAAGAGGAAAACAAUCCAGACCGCCAGCUAAGGCCCCAAAAUCAUAGUUAAGUGGGAAACGAUGUGGGAAGGCAUAGACAGCUAGGAGGUUGGCUUAGAAGCAGCCACCCUUUAAAGAAAGCGUAAUAGCUCACUAGUCGAGUCGGCCUGCGCGGAAGAUGUAACGGGGCUAAAACUAUGUGCCGAAGCUGCGGAUUUGACAUUAGUCAAGUGGUAGGGGAGCGUUCUGUAAGCCGAAGAAGGUGGAUUGAGAAGUCUGCUGGAGGUAUCAGAAGUGCGAAUGCUGACGUGAGUAACGACAAAAGGUGUGAAAAACCCGUUCGCUGAAAGACCAAGGGUUCCAGUCCAACGUUAAUCGGGGCUGGGUGAGUCGACCCCUAAGGCGAGGCCGAGAGGCGUAGUCGAUGGGAAAUUGGUUAAUAUUCCAAUACUUCAGUGUAAUGCGAUGAGAGGACGGAGAAGGUUAAGUCAGCCUGGCGUUGGUUGUCCAGGUGAAAGGAAGUAGGCAUGCAUCUUAGGCAAAUCCGGGGUGCUCUAUGCUGAGAUCUGAUAGCAAGCUGUACUUGUACAGUGAAGUGGCUGAUACCCUGCUUCCAGGAAAAGUCUCUAAGCUUCAGUUACACUGGAAUCGUACCCGAAACCGACACAGGUGGUCAGGUCGAGUAGACCAAAGCGCUUGAGAGAACUCUGCUGAAGGAACUAGGCAAAAUGGUACCGUAACUUCGGGAGAAGGUACGCUGUUGAUGGUGAUAGGACUCGCUCCUUGAGCUGUCGACAGCCUCAGAAACCAGGCCGCUGCAACUGUUUAUUAAAAACAUAGCACUCUGCAAACACGAAAGUGGACGUAUAGGGUGUGAUGCCUGCCCGGUGCUGGAAGGUUAAUUGAUGGGGUUAGCGUAAGCGAAGCUCUUGAUCGAAGCCCCAGUAAACGGCGGCCGUAACUAUAACGGUCCUAAGGUAGCGAAAUUCCUUGUCGGGUAAGUUCCGACCUGCACGAAUGGCAUAAUGAUGGCGGCGCUGUCUCCAGCAGAGGCUCAGUGAAAUCGAAUUCGCCGUGAAGAUGCGGUGUACCCGCGGCUAGACGGAAAGACCCCGUGAACCUUUACUGCAGCUUGACAUUGAACUUUGACCUUACUUGUGUAGGAUAGGUGGGAGGCUUUGAAAAUUGGACGCCAGUUCGAGUGGAGCCGUCCUUGAAAUACCACCCUGGUAAUGUUGAGGUUCUAACUCUGUCCCGUUAUCCGGGACGAGGACCAUGUCUGGUGGGUAGUUUGACUGGGGCGGUCUCCUCCUAAAGAGUAACGGAGGAGUACGAAGGUGCGCUCAGCGUGGUCGGAAAUCACGCGUAGAGUAUAAAGGCAAAAGCGCGCUUAACUGCGAGACCCACAAGUCGAGCAGGUACGAAAGUAGGUCUUAGUGAUCCGGUGGUUCUGUAUGGAAGGGCCAUCGCUCAACGGAUAAAAGGUACUCUGGGGAUAACAGGCUGAUACCGCCCAAGAGUUCAUAUCGACGGCGGUGUUUGGCACCUCGAUGUCGGCUCAUCUCAUCCUGGGGCUGAAGCAGGUCCCAAGGGUAUGGCUGUUCGCCAUUUAAAGAGGUACGCGAGCUGGGUUUAGAACGUCGUGAGACAGUUCGGUCCCUAUCUACCGUGGGCGCUGGAAAUUUGAGAGGAUCUGCUCCUAGUACGAGAGGACCAGAGUGGACGAACCUCUGGUGUACCGGUUGUGACGCCAGUCGCAUCGCCGGGUAGCUAUGUUCGGAAGGGAUAACCGCUGAAAGCAUCUAAGCGGGAAGCCUACCUCAAGAUAAGAUUUCCCCGAGGCUUUAUGCCUCCUAAAGAGCCGUUGAAGACUACGACGUUGAUAGGUUGGAUGUGGAAGCAUAGCGAUAUGUGAAGCUGACCAAUACUAAUUGCUCGUGAGGCUUGACUAU
This 2267-nucleotide ribosomal RNA is filed under the name Acinetobacter towneri DSM 14962 = CIP 107472. RNAcentral describes it as "bacterial LSU rRNA". It matches the Rfam family "Bacterial large subunit ribosomal RNA", at positions 678 to 2925 of the family's 2925-position model. The record is from RNAcentral. Lineage: Bacteria; Pseudomonadati; Pseudomonadota; Gammaproteobacteria; Moraxellales; Moraxellaceae.